RNAcentral lists this transfer RNA (70 nucleotides) under Anaspis sp. ANA02. RNAcentral's name for it is "tRNA-Phe". The record is from RNAcentral. Lineage: Eukaryota; Metazoa; Arthropoda; Insecta; Coleoptera; Scraptiidae.
ACUUAAAUAGCUUAUAUUAAUAAAGAGCAUAAUAUUGAAGAUAUUAAGGAAAUAAUUUUAUUUUUAAGUA